Molecule: ribosomal RNA, 459 nt
Filed under: Klebsiella pneumoniae
Lineage: Bacteria; Pseudomonadati; Pseudomonadota; Gammaproteobacteria; Enterobacterales; Enterobacteriaceae
Description: bacterial SSU rRNA
Rfam family: Bacterial small subunit ribosomal RNA
Source: RNAcentral
CCUACGGGAGGCUGCAGUGAGGAAUAUUGGUCAAUGGACGCAAGUCUGAACCAGCCAAGUAGCGUGCAGGAUGACGGCCCUAUGGGUUGUAAACUGCUUUUAUGUGGGAAUAAAUUGGCGCACGUGUGCGCCAUUGCAUGUACCUCAUGAAUAAGGACCGGCUAAUUCCGUGCCAGCAGCCGCGGUAAUACGGAAGGUCCGGGCGUUAUCCGGAUUUAUUGGGUUUAAAGGGAGUGUAGGCGGUCUGUUAAGCGUGUUGUGAAAUUUAGGUGCUCAACAUUUAACUUGCAGCGCGAACUGUCAGACUUGAGUACACGCAGCGCAGGCGGAAUUCAUGGUGUAGCGGUGAAAUGCUUAGAUAUCAUGAGGAACUCCGAUCGCGAAGGCAGCCUGCGGGAGUGUUACUGACGCUUAAGCUCGAAGGUGCGGGUAUCGAACAGGAUUAGAACCCGGGUAGUC